Molecule: non-coding RNA, 28 nt
Filed under: Mus musculus (house mouse)
Lineage: Eukaryota; Metazoa; Chordata; Mammalia; Rodentia; Muridae
Source: RNAcentral
UAAGUGGUAACAAAUAAUCUGCGCAUGU